Molecule: ribosomal RNA, 406 nt
Filed under: uncultured bacterium
Lineage: Bacteria
Description: partial 16S ribosomal RNA
Rfam family: Bacterial small subunit ribosomal RNA
Source: RNAcentral
AUUGAACGCUGGCGGCAGGCUUAACACAUGCAAGUCGAACGAGUGGCGGACGGGUGAGAAAUGUAUGGGGAUCUGCCUGCUGGAGGGGGAUACCUACUGGAAACGGUAGCUAAUACCGCAUACCAUCAGCUGAACCCAUAUGGGAUUAGCUGUUAGGUGAGGUAACGGCUCACCUAGGCGACGAUCCCUAGCUGGUCUGAGAGGAUGAUCAGCCACACUGGGACUGAGACACGGCCCAGACUCCUACGGGAGGCAGCAGUGGGGAAUAUUGCACAAUGGGCGCAAGCCUGAUGCAGCCAGGCCGCGUGUAUGAAGAAGGCCUUCGGGUUGUAAAGUACUUUCAGUCGGGAGGCGUUACCGACAGAAGAAGCACCGGCUAACUCCGUGCCAGCAGCCGCGGUAAUAC